CCAAAACAGCGGCCUUCGGGCCUCGCUGCACCCUUGUCUUUUGCGCACCGUAUUGUUUCCUCGGCGGGCUUGCCUGCCGGUUGGACAUCAUAAAACCUCUUUGUAGUUGCAAUCAGCGUCAGAAAAACAAUAAUUAUUA
This 139-nucleotide unclassified non-coding RNA is filed under the name soil metagenome. RNAcentral's name for it is "partial internal transcribed spacer 1". The record is from RNAcentral.